CUCUAGGUAGCUUAAAGGUAGAGCAUUAUCCUCAUAAGAUAAAAGAUAUUGGUUCGAGUCCAAUCUUAGAGA
This 72-nucleotide transfer RNA is filed under the name Caudoviricetes sp. RNAcentral's name for it is "tRNA-Met". It matches the Rfam family "tRNA". Rfam says of the family: Transfer RNA (tRNA) molecules are approximately 80 nucleotides in length. Their secondary structure includes four short double-helical elements and three loops (D, anti-codon, and T loops). The record is from RNAcentral. Lineage: Duplodnaviria; Heunggongvirae; Uroviricota; Caudoviricetes.